Molecule: long non-coding RNA, 2879 nt
Organism: Malurus melanocephalus (red-backed fairy wren)
Lineage: Eukaryota; Metazoa; Chordata; Aves; Passeriformes; Maluridae
Exons: 3
Source: RefSeq, a predicted model, not a curated record
UCUUGGUAUGAGAUGCCAUGCCUACUUUCCUCGCUCUGAUGGUUCUCUAGGCUUGGAGAUACAAUUACUCUGAUUCCUUGGCCUGAAUCCUACUUCUAAUGGAAUCGGGGUAUUCAACCUCUGGAAGAAGAUUAGGACCAUGCUGUAUUUUUUCUCCUCCUGGAAAUAGCAGUAAGGAAAAGAGAAUAUACAUUAUCAUGGAGUAAAAGCCAAUCUUGUUCACUUGGCCUUAUGGAUCACUUCAUCCACUGAGAGCUGAGAAAAGAGAAGUCCCACUUCCAUGGAGCUGCCAGAAGAGCUGUGUCAGCUGGCAGACAUCCAGAAGCUGAGAAGGGAGAAAGCAAUAAAAGACUAAAGAAUGAAUGAGGAUAGUCUUUUGAUCAAACCAGCCAUGGCAUUUAACAGAGAAACAAUGCACAGAAGGAUGGAAACUACAGAGAUUAUGGGGAUUGCUUUCCCACAAACAAAAAAGCAGGAUCUCAAAUCACAUCCUUCAACAAUCAAGGAUGUACUUUGUCAAAGCAGAGCUUGAAAAUCAAAYUGACAUGGUAAAAUCUGUGGAAGGACCUUAAACUGAACUCAGGUGGACUGUAUGAAUUUAAUUUCUGACACAGGCAACUUGAACUUAGAUAGAGUGUUUGGAGACAUCAAGGUGAAAAAAGGGGCUAUAUCUCUUGCACAGGUGUCAAACAAAAGCUCCUGACUUCAUCAUAUUGGGUAAUUCAACAUCCCAUUGCUGAAUGGAAAUAAUGAUGGUCUCACUUUCAGAGGAAAUUCCUGCUGUAUCCGUUCUUUUCUAGGUCUAUUUUUGAGAUCCAUUUUUUUUCCAAGAGCUAUUUUUGAUUUUAAAGAGUGACUUCUAUUUUUCUUGUAUUGUUAUUAGACCACUUUCUUAAAUUGUUUCUUCUCUUACCUGCUGCAGCUAUGUAAAAUUCUCAUUAGAGCAGCUUCCUACUGAAAUUUGCAGACUACCAGCACCAUUGUUUGCUAGCACUGCUGCAUCCAACUCGUGUGGAUAAGGCCGUUAACACCAUUGUUCUGUGUGUCUAUUGACAAGUGUGUGUAAAUAGCAGUCCCACCCCAAGCAAAAUAAGGUAGUAAGGUGAAACUACUAUUCUACCACAGGUCAAAAUGAAUGUAGGCCAUGCCUGAGUCCUGGAACAUGCUUUCUGACAUAUCAGUGAACACUGAUGAACAUGGAAUAGGGAAGAAUGGAAAAGGUCAGUGGUCACUGAGCCAACCAGACUGCAGUCUGAGAACAAUCKGGGCAUUAGGCUGCAAAUGUGGGAAUGAUACCAGGUUGGAAGGGAAGUGAUGUCUGCAUGUGAGUACAUGCCAAUACCUGUUCAAGUUUUCUUUGGAUGUAAAUUGGUGUGACUCUGCUUAUGAUGUACCUGCRCAUUUAGAAAAAUAUUUUUAGGGGAAACAUUGGCUUCUUGGUGUGUGGGGUUUUUUUCCCUCUCCCACAACGUACUAGACCAGCAGUAUUUAAAUAGGUCUUUAUUUGAAACUAGAGGCAAGACUUGCUCACUUCUCAGAGACAGAAAAGCUGCCAAGGUUUUCUCCUUGUCAUUUAACUGAAGCAGGACUUUUGCAAGCAGUGAUAGGUUAUCACAGAUCAGUGGGGUAAAAUGAGGAACAUGCAGGCUGUUCCGUCUGACAGAUCAAGAGCACUUAGGUUAUAUAUCCACAACAAAAAUCAUCUGGGUCCCUCCAGUCCAAUAUCACAGAGAAAAUGGUGAUACAUCAGGUAAUGGCAGGAGGGAGGGAAGAGGAGCUGGGAUAUGAAGGCAUCAAGUCUGCGACAUAGAAGAGCAGUAUGGAAUGUCUCUGCAGGAUACAAAGUAAUUGUUGAGGCCACCCUUCUUAGUAAGAGACUGAGCUGCUUUGUCAGCCUCUUCCAAGGACUAAAUCUCUGACUGGAACAGCAUUAUCAUGGAAUAAGGAUUUCCAGAGAGGGACUUUGCAGGCUAAUUGCAUCUGUGCCAGUAUAAUGAUUCAAGCAACAAAACUUUCUUGGGUAAAUAUGGGUGCAGCUUUUCCUUUGGUUCUCUUUUGAGAAUGGGAUAAAGAAAAGAAAUACAUUGGAAUGGAGUCAUCACUCAUUGAUGCACAAAACUAAAAAUUACUAUUUUCUUAAGGACUUUUUUUUAAUGGUCCAUCAGCCAAAAUGACGCUGCUCUGUUUGUCUAAGUGUGAUCCUAACAUGUAACCAAGUCACGCCUGCUUCCUAAAUAAUGCAAUUCUCGGUUGUAGCUAGGGACACAAUUAGCAUCACUGGUCAAGGACAACUCUAAUGAAGUUUCACUGGGACAGUAACAAUGGUCUUAUUUUUAUUUCCAAGUAACUGUGAGGUGGUUUAAGCCCAGCUGGCAAGUAUGCACCAAGUGGAACGAGGCAAGAGAAUCGAAAGUAAAACGUGUAAGUUAGGAAAAGAACAGUUUACUAAUUGAAAACAAAGKAAAAUAUAGUAAUAAAUAACAAGAAYGAAAAUCAAAAGGGAAACAAACAAGCARUGUACAAUACAAUUGCUCACCCCAUGCUGACCAAUGCCAGAUCCCUUUCMUGAAUCCAGAUCAGCCUCGCUUCCAGGUAAAUCCCCUCAGUUAUACUGGGCAURAUGUUCCAUGGUAUGGAAUAUCCUUUUGGUCAGUUCAGGUCAGCUGUCCUGGCUGUGCACCCUCCCAGUUUUUUUUCUUCCUCAAUGGCAGAGGAUAAGACGUAACAAAAAAGUCCUUGACUUAGAAUAAACACAGCUUAGCAAAACUCAAAACAUCAGUUUUUCAUUAUGAAUGCAAAACUCAGCACUGUCCCAGCUACUGAGAAAUUAACUCCAUCCCAGCCCAAACCAGGACACUGGUACCUACGCAGCACUGGAG